This is a long non-coding RNA of Suricata suricatta (meerkat), 497 nucleotides long. RefSeq lists it as uncharacterized. Lineage: Eukaryota; Metazoa; Chordata; Mammalia; Carnivora; Herpestidae. The record is from RefSeq and is a predicted model, not a curated record. The transcript is spliced from 2 exons.
AAGAGAGAUGAAUAGUUCCCGAGUCUUUUCCUCUCUCUCUUUCUAGUAUGAUUCCAGACACUGCCUUUGGGGUGGACUGGUCUACAAUGGCCCUUUUCUCAACCUAAGGACUUAGACUGAUUUCCCAAGAAAGAAAAAUAAUCGCUUGCACAAUCAGAAAUAGCAAUUGAGAUUCACGGAAAGCAUGCACGUGUCAGUGUCUGUUGGGGAAGAAGAGUGUUGGGAAGGUGUGCAAAGCACUAUAAAAUGUCUCUGCCUAGAGGCAUCAUGGGUAUGACAUCCAUAGCUUGAGUGCAGCUGGGCCGGUCCAAGUAGAAAUCCAGAACUCUUGGAUGUUAACCUGAGAAGGCUAUGCUUAUUUGGUAUUAUUUGUGGACAGAUAACUGUGCCAUUCCUGGAGAUGCUUGAUGGAGACAGAAAGUAACAUAGGUCCAGAACCUUAAAGACUGUUAAGGGCUGAAAUACAUACCCCUAAAAUACAUGUGUUGAAGUUUAAA